Molecule: long non-coding RNA, 528 nt
Filed under: Elaeis guineensis (African oil palm)
Lineage: Eukaryota; Viridiplantae; Streptophyta; Magnoliopsida; Arecales; Arecaceae
Description: long non-coding RNA (EGUI_LNC041202)
Source: RNAcentral
ACCUGACCAUUUUGGGAGAUUAUAUUUUAUAUUAGGUUACUUGUUGACUCGAGUUCAUCCAUGCCUACUAGGUUGGUCAGACAUGAGGUAUAUUGACCCAAACUAUAUUAGUCAUUACAUCAGAUGUAUGUGACUAAUUAGAAAAGACCUGAAUCUAAAUCUUCUCACUAAAUAUUAAGUCUAUUGGUCUUCCACCAUUGUAGAGAUGCGGGUGUCUUUUUUGGUGUUGAUUGUUCUCAGCUAGUUACAAUGGUUCGAUUGCAUUGGGAAGGCACAACCACUCUAUUGGCAUUAGAUAUCCCAAGGUAAAGAUAGGAUUGGACCCAAUAACUAUUAAGUGAGGGACCCAAUGAUGGCUUUGUACUCGCUGGUGAACGGUGGAUCGGAUUUAACUAAGAAAUGUGCCAAUAACUAUUAGGUGAGGUCACAGGACUUAGAGACCAAGUUGCUACAACAUGCUUGGAGAAGUAUCUGGAUAAAGAGUUAUUCAUACAUUAAUAUACGUGUCAUCAAUAACUAUUAGAUGAG